AGGCAAAGAUGCACGCCCAGGACU
This 24-nucleotide non-coding RNA is filed under the name Arabidopsis thaliana (thale cress). Lineage: Eukaryota; Viridiplantae; Streptophyta; Magnoliopsida; Brassicales; Brassicaceae. The record is from RNAcentral.